Molecule: long non-coding RNA, 552 nt
Filed under: Pan troglodytes (chimpanzee)
Lineage: Eukaryota; Metazoa; Chordata; Mammalia; Primates; Hominidae
Description: lincRNA
Source: RNAcentral
AAAGUCAUCUAUGUUUCCUGAUAAAGGGGACAAUUAUUCGCCAUGGCACUAAGAUCGUCAACUUUGUGAAUAUGAUCUAGAAGAAAAAGCACAAUUAUUUAAAUAUGGCCCAUUUUGGUUUCUGAUAGAUUUGUUUGACACCUUUUCUUACUUUGAGGUGUAGUAUGCUUCCAUGUACCUUUCCAGUAUAAAUUCAGGUCCUACCAUCUGGAGUGACUCAAAGUAAGGUUGGACUUCUUUUGGAAGACAAAAACAAACAAACAAAAAGCAACAACAACAACAACAAAAACAAUUAUUCAAAUAUUUGAAGAUAAAUAUUGCUGCGAAAGGCCAUCAUGGCAUGUUCAUCAUAUGGCAUCCCCUGCUAUGUCUCUUCCUGGUUGGGAGGAAAUGGGGUCCUUCACCUGCUGCCCAAGAUGGGUGCAUGCAAGUCAUCUCCUGUGUCAACUGUGGGACGAGACCCACUGGUCAUAAGAAACUGAACUGAUACUCACUGUUGAAACUGGGCUUUCUCUGUCUCUUCUACAUGAUAGUAAAGCAUUGUUCCAUCCA